This 239-nucleotide long non-coding RNA is filed under the name Vigna radiata. RNAcentral's name for it is "long non-coding RNA (VRAD_LNC014292)". Lineage: Eukaryota; Viridiplantae; Streptophyta; Magnoliopsida; Fabales; Fabaceae. The record is from RNAcentral.
GAAGGUAUAGGUGAAUUUUUUUUUUAAAUAACUUUGUUUAGCUCUAGUUUUAGUAAUAAAAUAGGGGUAAAAUUUUUUUCUGUUUUCUCUUUAUUUUUAGGUCUGAUGGAGUUUAUAAAUACCUAGUGUAGUUUAUUAUUUUUGUUUUUGUUGUGGUCUGUAAAUACCUAUUCUUGUUACUGCUUUGUUUUAGUUUAGUUUUUAGCUUUGAUGAUAAAUGUUCUUAGGUCUAAAGUUCU